Molecule: ribosomal RNA, 411 nt
Filed under: Veillonella parvula
Lineage: Bacteria; Bacillati; Bacillota; Negativicutes; Veillonellales; Veillonellaceae
Description: bacterial SSU rRNA
Rfam family: Bacterial small subunit ribosomal RNA
Source: RNAcentral
GACGAACGCUGGCGGCGUGCUUAACACAUGCAAGUCGAACGAAGAGCGAUGGAAGCUUGCUUCUAUCAAUCUUAGUGGCGAACGGGUGAGUAACGCGCAAUCAACCUGCCCUUCAGAGGGGGACAACAGUUGGAAACGACUGCUAAUACCGCAUACGAUCUAAUCUCGGCAUCGAGGAUAGAUGAAAGGUGGCCUCUACAUGUAAGCUAUCACUGAAGGAGGGGAUUGCGUCUGAUUAGCUAGUUGGAGGGGUAACGGCCCACCAAGGCGAUGAUCAGUAGCCGGUCUGAGAGGAUGAACGGCCACAUUGGGACUGAGACACGGCCCAGACUCCUACGGGAGGCAGCAGUGGGGAAUCUUCCGCAAUGGACGAAAGUCUGACGGAGCAACGCCCGCGUGAGUGAUGACGGC